Long non-coding RNA from Pseudophryne corroboree (corroboree frog), 1220 nucleotides. RefSeq lists it as uncharacterized. NCBI's taxonomy places the organism in Eukaryota, Metazoa, Chordata, Amphibia, Anura, Myobatrachidae. The record is from RefSeq and is a predicted model, not a curated record. The transcript is spliced from 4 exons.
CUCCGCCCCAACCCGCCUCCAGUCUACCCCCUCCUUACGUCACAGCGCUCCCUGGCCCGCCUGUUGAGCCGACCUGGCUGCUCUCUCCCGCAGAGAGCAGCCAGAAUGUCAACUGCAAGCCUGCAAGUAUCAGUUAUUGCAAUACAUUAUAGAAAUGAUCCAACAUAGCGUGAUGUAGAAGCUGUAAUCCCGGCUCAGUGAUUGACCACCAUAUCUGAAGGCCCCCAUACAUCAACAAUCAAUUGGGACAAUUUGGCGUUUGGCAGAUGAUUGUAAAGUGCCGGAGUUUUCCUAAAGACUGAAUCUGCCACGUGACAAUAAUAUACUGUUUCCUGUUGUGUCUGGAUGGCGGUACCUUUGACCCUGAGAUGUGACAUCCGUGAACCUAUAAGAUGGCGUUUUGAGAACCUAGUAAAUCCGAACCCGCUCAUCUCUACUGUUGAUGUGACUCCCUGCCCUUGGGUGUGACUCUCUCCCACUUGGCUGUGACUCCUCCCCUGUGUAUGUGACUCCCUCCUCCUGGCUGUGACUCCCUCCCCCUGGUGGUGACUCUCUCACCUUAGUUGUGAUGUGGUUGUGACUCCUUCCCUCCCCUGUUGAUGUGACUCCCUGCCCUUGGCUAUGACUCCCUCCCACUUGGCUCUGACUCCUCCCCUUGGAUGUGACACCCUCCCCUGUGUAUGUGACUCGCUUCCCUGGCUGUGACUCCCCCGUUGAUGUGACUCCCUGCCUUUGGCUAUGACUCCCUCCCACUUGGCUCUGACUCCUCCCCUUGGAUGUGACUCCCUUCCCUGGCUGUGACUCCUUCCCCCUGGUGGUGACUCUCUCACCUUAGUUGUGAUGUGGUUGUAACUCCUUCCCUCCCCUGUUGAUGUGACUCCCUCCCACUUGUCUGUGAUCCCUCCCCUUGGAUGUGAGUCCCUUUCCUGUGUAUGUGGCUCCCUCCCACUGGCUGUGACUCAUUUCUCCUGGCUGUGAUUCCCUCCCCCUGGUGGUGAUUCUCCUUAGUUGUGAUGUGGUUGUGACUCCUUCCCUUCCCCGUUGAUGUGACUCCCUGCACUUGGCUAUGACUCCUUCCCACUUGGCUGUGACUCCUCCCCUUGGAUGUGACUCCAUCCCCUGUGUAUGUAACUCAUUCCCCAGGCUGUGAUUCCCUCCCUUGGCUUUUUAAUUAAAUAUUAAAUACACAAACAUAAAAGAACCAGUACUGCACUUUCUAA